This 454-nucleotide unclassified non-coding RNA is filed under the name Hevea brasiliensis (rubber tree). The record is from RNAcentral. Lineage: Eukaryota; Viridiplantae; Streptophyta; Magnoliopsida; Malpighiales; Euphorbiaceae.
AUCCCAUUUUACAUUUCAUUCAUAAACAAGCAAUUGAUGCACAAAUGGGAGGAGCCACACACAAAAAGCAGCAGUAAAAUCACCAUUAACCAUCAGGCAUGCAUAUACAGGUACAAUAAAUGAUCAUUAAAAUUCUGUCACAACCUUGAGUAAGAAUUACUACUGCUCAUCAUCCGGCUGCUCCUCCCCAAGACCCCGUUGGGCAAUUCUGUAAUAAAGUAUACCCAUAGUUGCCAUGCAGGCCAUGAUUGCUAUAAAAAGAAGGAUUUUUCUUGGAUCCAUUCUUGAUGGUCUGUGAUGCCUCACACGAGCUUCCGAGACAUCAUCUGUGUUUGAUGCAUCCUUAUGUGGAGGUGCAGUUACCGGUAAAGUUGGUAAUGCACUUGACCAGAACGGAAGCAAUGCUCUAAGGAACAUAUGGCGGAAUGGACCCCUUCGACUGUACUUUUUACGA